GACGAACGCUGGCGGCGUGCUUAACACAUGCAAGUCGAACGGAAAGGCCCUGCUUUUGUGGGGUGCUCGAGUGGCGAACGGGUGAGUAACACGUGAGUAACCUGCCCUUGACUUUGGGAUAACUUCAGGAAACUGGGGCUAAUACCGGAUAGGAGCUCCUGCUGCAUGGUGGGGGUUGGAAAGUUUCGGCGGUUGGGGCUGGACUCGCGGCUUAUCAGCUUGUUGGUGGGGUAGUGGCUUACCCAGGCUUUGACUGGUAGCCGGCCUGGGAGGGUGACCGGCCACCUUGGGCCUGCGAUACGGCCCAGACUCCUACGGGAGGCAGCAGGGGGGAAUAUGGCACAAUGGGCGGAAGCCUGAUGCAGAAACGCCGCGUGCGGGAUGACGGCCUUCGGGUUGUAAACCGCUUUCGCCUGUGACGAAGCGUGAGUGACGGUAAUGGGUAAAGAAGCACCGGCUAACUACGUG
This 468-nucleotide ribosomal RNA is filed under the name uncultured bacterium. RNAcentral's name for it is "partial 16S ribosomal RNA". It matches the Rfam family "Bacterial small subunit ribosomal RNA", at positions 28 to 507 of the family's 1533-position model. The record is from RNAcentral.